AAACUCUUCUCCUAAUGCAUAUUUCCUAAUUAACAUACAUUUUCUUGAACCUGUAACUUCUUUUGUGCUUUCUGGUUUUGAUUGGUAAGGCCUGGUUGCUCUUCUUUUGGCAAUAACAAAGACGACAAAACUAUGCAUCAAAAUUAAUUUGAUUGCAAAAUUUGUCGGCAAUUUGUUGUUUUUCGUUUUUUAAACCGCAUUUUGUUGAGCGUAAUCUUGA
Molecule: unclassified non-coding RNA, 220 nt
Filed under: Hevea brasiliensis (rubber tree)
Lineage: Eukaryota; Viridiplantae; Streptophyta; Magnoliopsida; Malpighiales; Euphorbiaceae
Source: RNAcentral